Molecule: ribosomal RNA, 1341 nt
Filed under: uncultured bacterium
Lineage: Bacteria
Description: 16S ribosomal RNA
Rfam family: Bacterial small subunit ribosomal RNA
Source: RNAcentral
GACGAACGCUGGCGGCGUGCUUAACACAUGCAAGCCGAACGGUAAGGCUCCAGCUUGCUGGGGUACACGAGUGGCGAACGGGUGAGUAACACGUGGGUGACCUGCCCUGCACUUCGGGAUAAGCCUGGGAAACUGGGUCUAAUACCGGAUAGGACCGCACCGUGAGGGUGUGGUGGAAAGUUUUUUCGGUGUGGGAUGGGCCCGCGGCCUAUCAGCUUGUUGGUGGGGUAAUGGCCUACCAAGGCGGCGACGGGUAGCCGGCCUGAGAGGGUGGACGGCCACAUUGGGACUGAGACACGGCCCAGACUCCUACGGGAGGCAACAGUGGGGAAUAUUGCACAAUGGGCGGAAGCCUGAUGCAGCGACGCCGCGUGGGGGAUGACGGCCUUCGGGUUGUAAACUCCUUUCACCAUCGACGAAGGGUUUCUGACGGUAGAUGGAGAAGAAGCACCGGCUAACUACGUGCCAGCAGCCGCGGUAAUACGUAGGGUGCGAGCGUUGUCCGGAAUCACUGGGCGUAAAGAGCUCGUAGGUGGUUUGUCGCGUCGUCUGUGAAAUUCCGGGGCUUAACUCCGGGCGUGCAGGCGAUACGGGCAUAACUUGAGUACUGUAGGGGAGACUGGAAUUCCUGGUGUAGCGGUGAAAUGCGCAGAUAUCAGGAGGAACACCGGUGGCGAAGGCGGGUCUCUGGGCAGUAACUGACGCUGAGGAGCGAAAGCAUGGGGAGCGAACAGGAUUAGAUACCCUGGUAGUCCAUGCCGUAAACGGUGGGCGCUAGGUGUGGGUUUCCUUCCACGGGAUCCGUGCCGUAGCUAACGCAUUAAGCGCCCCGCCUGGGGAGUACGGCCGCAAGGCUAAAACUCAAAGGAAUUGACGGGGGCCCGCACAAGCGGCGGAGCAUGUGGAUUAAUUCGAUGCAACGCGAAGAACCUUACCUGGGCUUGACAUAUACAGGAUCGCGCCAGAGAUGGUGUUUCCCUUGUGGCUUGUAUACAGGUGGUGCAUGGUUGUCGUCAGCUCGAGUCGUGAGAUGUUGGGUUAAGUCCCGCAACGAGCGCAACCCUUGUCUUAUGUUGCCAGCACGUUGUGGUGGGGACUCGUAAGAAACUGCCGGGGUUAACUCGGAGGAAGGUGGGGAUGACGUCAAAUCAUCAUGCCCCUUAUGUCCAGGGCUUCACACAUGCUACAAUGGUCGGUACAGUGGGUUGCCAGUCCGUGAGGGCGAGCUAAUCCCGCAAAGCCGGUCUCAGUUCGGAUCGGGGUCUGCAACUCGACCCCGUGAAGUCGGAGUCGCUAGUAAUCGCAGAUCAGCAACGCUGCGGUGAAUACGUUCCCGGGCCU